RNAcentral lists this ribosomal RNA (401 nucleotides) under uncultured bacterium. RNAcentral's name for it is "bacterial SSU rRNA". It matches the Rfam family "Bacterial small subunit ribosomal RNA", at positions 359 to 776 of the family's 1533-position model. The record is from RNAcentral.
GAAUCUUGCGCAAUGGGCGAAAGCCUGACGCAGCAACGCCGCGUGCGGGAAGAAGGCCUUCGGGUUGUAAACCGCUUUCAGCAGGAACGAAAAUGACGGUACCUGCAGAAGAAGGUGCGGCCAACUACGGGCCAGCAGCCGCGGUGACACGUAGGCACCAAGCGUUGUCCGGAUUUAUUGGGCGUAAAGAGCUCGUAGGCGGUUCAGUAAGUCGGGUGUGAAAACUCUGGGCUUAACCCAGAGCCGCCACCCGAUACUGCUGUGACUAGAGUCCGGUAGGGGAGUGGGGAAUUCCUAGUGUAGCGGUGAAAUGCGCAGAUAUUAGGAGGAACACCGGUGGCGAAGGCGCCACUCUGGGCCGGAACUGACGCUGAGGAGCGAAAGCGUGGGUAGCAAACAGG